GUGCUCACUUCGGCAGCACAUAUACUAAAAUUGGAACGAUAUAGAGAAGAUUAGCAUGGCCCCCGAGCAAGGAUGACAUGCAAAUUUGUGAAGCUUUCCAUAUUUUU
Molecule: small nuclear RNA, 107 nt
Filed under: Prolemur simus (greater bamboo lemur)
Lineage: Eukaryota; Metazoa; Chordata; Mammalia; Primates; Lemuridae
Source: RNAcentral